GCUUAACCGAAGAAGUGCAUCGGAAACUGGGAGACUUGAGUGCAGAAGAGGACAGUGGAACUCCAUGUGUAGCGGUGAAAUGCGUAGAUAUAUGGAAGAACACCAGUGGCGAAGGCGGCUGUCUAGUCUGUAACUGACGCUGAGGCUCGAAAGCAUGGGUAGCGAACAGGAUUAGAUACCCUGGUAGUCCAUGCCGUAAACGAUGAAUGCUAAGUGUUGGAGGGUUUCCGCCCUUCAGUGCUGCAGCUAACGCAUUAAGCACUCCGCCUGGGGAGUACGGCCGCAAGGUUGAAACUCAAAGGAAUUGACGAGGGCCCGCACAAGCGGUGGAGCAUGUGGUUUAAUUCGAAGCUACGCGAAGAACCUUACCAGGUCUUGACAUCUUCUGCAAAUCUUAGAGAUUAGACGUUCCCUUCGGGGACAUGGAGACAGGUGGUGCAUGGUUGUCGUCAGCUCGUGUCGUGAGAUGUUGGGUUAAGUCCCGCAACGAGCGCAACCCUUAUUAUCAGUUGCCAGCAUUCAGUUGGGCACUCUGGUGAGACUGCCGGUGACAAACCGGAGGAAGGUGGGGAUGACGUCAAAUCAUCAUGCCCCUUAUGACCUGGGGCUACACACGUGCUACAAUGGACGGUACAACG
This 638-nucleotide ribosomal RNA is filed under the name uncultured bacterium. Its description in RNAcentral is "bacterial SSU rRNA". It matches the Rfam family "Bacterial small subunit ribosomal RNA", at positions 607 to 1244 of the family's 1533-position model. The record is from RNAcentral.